GCCUAGCCCAAAUUAAUAACCCAAUAAAAUAUAACACCAGCCCAAAUAAACCUGCAAAUAGUGAGCUCCGUUACCGAAGAAAAUAGUCGGAAAGAAAGAGUCCGUCGGUCGUCGCCUCCGCAAAUCCGACACAGAAGAAAUUUCCUACUUUUUGUCACUGUCCCCUAAUUACGACGUCAUCUACAUCGUCAAUUGAUGAACGACAAGCUGUGGAUUAAAAAAAAUUGACUCGACUACACCAGUUACUCGUCUCCAGAAGAAGAUACGAAACCCUCCAAUGUUCGGAGGUUGCAACACCGUUAAUCAUGGUGGGUCAGAAGGAAAAAGAAGCCAGAACACCAAAAUAAAAUUGUAAGAUUUCUGACCGGACUCUUGCAACACCCAAAAAUAUUAAGAAAAUUGCAGUAUCGUAGGAGGCUCUAAUACCAUGUUAGGAUUGUCUGAAUGCCUCUCAAUUGAGAGUUUCUUCUCAUUAAAAGAAACUUUAUUCCUCAUUAUUGUCCCAAAUUACAGCUCGAGUAUUCUAUCAAAUCUCCCAAUUACCUCACUUUCCUAGUUAAAGCAUAAUCAUAUUUCAUAUAAAAGGAAAUAAAGACUACUCUAUAUUUACAACAUAAUUAUGCACAUAACACAUGUGAUAUGCUGACAAGACACCACUCUAUACUACAAUUCAUUCAACGCCACAUGGGGAUGAGUACAUUAACUAUAGACCCUUGCUUAAAUGCUACUGUGAAAUGCUUUCUAAUUGCACAUGCAAUAUACUACGUAGCAUUUCUAAUACUCAGCAAUCAGAUGCUAUUUUAAACUCCUCAUAGGACUCAAUGAAUCCUAAUCCUCAAUGAGAAGCUAAUUGCUACUAACUUCUCCACUUCCAUCACUAGCUUGAGUAUAUGCACUUCUUCAAGAAGAAACCCAAUGAGACAUGCGUACUUACUCAUUCCUAGAUUUAGUUGCAAUGAUAGCAAGAUAGCCCCCCCAGAGCAUUCAAUAGACCUCCAUCUUGGAAGGAUAGGAAAAAGCCCAAAUGCACUUACCGUGGUUAUCUCAAUCAUACUACAAAUAAAUGUUUCCAACUCAAUAGCUAUCCACCUGGUUGAAAAGGGCCUAGAGGAUCACGAAUGCUAGCUAAUACUCCUGCUGCCCAUGCUGUUACAUUAGACAAUUCUACAGAUGAUGGGGGACCAAAUACUUCAUUCAAUCAAGAUCUUUACCAACAAUUCUUUGUAUUUUUCCAAAACUUAGCAAAUCCUAUCCUCCAAGUCACAUAAUUUAACAACGGCCACCAUCACUGUAGGUAUCCUUUUCUAUAGUGCAACCUUUCUUAAACCAAAAACAACUUUUUGAAUAUGGUCUGUUGUACCUGUAUCAAUUAUCCAAGAAGUUUUUGGUUUGAAAAAGAUUGUUCACUAGCCUUUUUCACUUCCAUUGAUUCAAUCACAAUUACUAAUGUUAAUUUGCCAAAUGGUAGCUCUGUACUAGUUAGCCAUCUUGGCAAAAUUCAUAUGUCGAGCAAUUUAACACCUGAUAAUGCCCUAUGUGUACCUUCAUUUUCAUUCAAUCUUAUAUCAGUUUCCUAGCUAACAAAAUCUUUCAAUCUUUGAGUGUUAUUUUUUUGCCUGUAACUCUUUGUAUAAGAUCUGUCCACCUUCAAGAUGAUUGGUUUUCUAAGGAAAACGAAACCUAUAUCAUUGCUGAUUGUGGAAAAUGAGGGCCUAUAUCAUCUCCUAAUUGUUCAUGAUCAAUCUCUUACAUAUCAGCCUAUCACCAACAUUCUAAUAGUCAAUGCUUCUCAACAUUCCAGACAUAAUUUAUGGCACCUUAGACUUGGCCACAUAUCCAAUGCAAAAAUGUCAAAAUUCCACACAUUGCUUCUCAAAUACUUUGUAACAAUUUACAUAUAUGUGAAAUCAGUCCUUUAGCAAAACAAAAGAACUUACCUUUCCUUAUCAGUGAUUAAAUCUCGAAUAAAAUUUUUGAUUUAGUUCAUUGCGACAUUCGAGGUCCAUUUACUAUACAUUCCUUUAAUGGUUACAGAUUUUUUCUCACCAUAGUUGAUGAUUAUUCUCGAUGCACUUGAGUUUUCAUGAUGCAAUCUAAAUCUGAAAUUUGUGUAUAUAUAUAUAUAUUUUAUCAAAUUGCCCUUACUCACUUCAAUACCAAAAUAAAGUCCAUUAGAUCAGAUAAUGGUGAUGAAUUUGUCAUGCUAGAUUUUUAUCUUUCUCACGGAAUCCUCCAUCAAAGAAGUUGUGUGGAUUCACUCCAACAAAAUGGAGUGGCGGAAAGAAAGCUCCAAUUUAUCCUUCAAGUGGUUAGAGCACUCCUCUUUCAAUCAAAUGUACCUCUCACCUGUUGGAGUGAUUGCACACUUACAACAGUUCACCUCAUAAAUCGUAUUCCAUCACCCAUUCUUGGCAAAAAAAAAAAAAAAAAACUCCUUAUGAGCAGCUCUUCCAAAAGCCACCAUAAUAUGACCAUCUUAAAACUUUUGGUUGCCUUUGCUUUGCAUCUAUACUCAAUGUUCACAAAUAAAGUUUUCUCCUCAAGCAUCCAAGUGCAUAUUUCUUGGAUACCCUCUUAGAUACAAAGGUUACAAAGUAUAUGAUUUACAAACUCAAAAAAUCUUUAUUAGCAGGAAUAUAAUUUUCCAUGAAAAUUCAUUUCCCUGCAAACAGUCCUCAUUACAUCACUCACCUACAAAUCCACACUUUUUUCCUAUACUUGAGCCUAUUUUUUAUUCCACAUCACAAACAACCCAAAUACUAGCCCUCAACAUCAUCUCUACUUCAUUUAUCUCAAAAACUGUCUUUGCCGAUACAAUUUGUGAUCAUGUUUCUUAACUAUCAUUGCCAGAAAAUCCCAAUUUUAGUCCUCUUUCACACUCUCCUGAGUUAUCAGACAUUAGCAUACCUAUUUCUCCCCCUUAACUUCCUCCUGACAAUCUAAUAGAACUAGACAUCUACUUUCUUAUCUAAAUGAUUAUCAUUGUGAUUUAUCCUCUUCUUUCACUGUAAUCCAGUCUUCUACAAUGCUGGCCAGACCAUGUGAUCAGGUAAACCUUAUUCCUUACCUCAUUUCAUUUCACCUAAUCGAUUAGCCCCCUAACAGUCUUUGAACCUAAAUUCACUCGACAAUCUGUCAAAUAUCCAUACUAGCAUGAAGCUAUGAAUACAGAAAUCAAAGCUCUUGAAAGAAUAAUACUUGGACCCUCAUGUAUCUGCCACAUGACAAACAUGUUAUUGGAUGCAAAUGUGUUUAUAAAGUUAAGUUCAAGGCAGGUGGCACUAUGGAAAGAUACAAAGCGCGGCUGGUUGUUAAAGGAUAUACUUAAUAGGAUGCGGAAGUCUAUAUGAGGCUACCACAAAGUUAUUUUACACAUGAUCCUUUAUUGGUUUGCAAACUGAAUAAGAACUUGUUGGACUCAAACAAGCGUCUCGACAAUGGUUUGGAAAAAUCUAUACUAGCCUUAUCUCAUAUGGAUUUCAGUAGUCCAAGUCAAAUUCUUCUUUAUUUCUUCAAAUUACUGCCAUUCAUUCAUGGUCUUUUUGGUCUAUACAGAUGUAGACGAUGUCUUACUUGCCAAUAAUAGCCUCAAUGAAAUUCACAUUCUGAAGAAAUUCUUAGGUGACCAAUUCACAAUCAAGGAUUUAGGUGAGUUAAAGUAAAUCUUUGGAUUGGAGAUUGCUAGAUCACAGCCGGGGAUCAACCUUUGUUAGUAGAAAAUAUGCCAUAAAUAUAUUAGACGACUCUAGUUUUUCUGGCUGUAAACCAGUUGCUUUCCAAAUAGAAUCUACUCUCAAACUGAAAUCAGAAGCCCCCAAACUUUUAUUUGAUUCCUCAACCUAUAGAAGACUCAUUAGUAGAAUAUCUAUCUCACCAUUACUAGACCUGACUCGGCAUAUUCAAUCCAAGUCCUUACCAUUUUAUGUCUAAACCUGUUAGCCCCAUUUGGAUGUAGUUCAUAAGGUUUUUAGGUACAUUAAGGCUACCCCUGGUCAAUGCUUAUUCUUCCUUGCAAAUUAUGAGUUACAUCUCAAGGCUUACAGUAACAGUUGUUAGGCUGGUUGCCUUGAUACUAGGCGAAGUGUUACUUGCUUUGCUAUCUUUCUCGGCGAGUCUAUAAUUUCCUAGAAAUCCAAGAAACAACCUACGGUCAGCAGAUCCUCCGUUGAAGCUGAAUAUCGGGCACUAGCUUCUACAACCUGUGAGAUGCAAUGGCUUGUUUAUUUUUUACAAGACUUGGCUAUCCAUUGUCUUCAACCUACACUCUUGUAUACUAACAGCAAAUCAGCAUUCUCUAUUGCGAAUAAUCUAAUCUGGCACGAGAUCUAGCGGAAAUCCCUCGAUAAAUCUUGAUUUCGGGCUCAGAAAACAAUCAAACGAACACCGAUUUACCUCGAUUCGACCCAAGACUUUCACCUUCACUUUGGAUUGCUCUCUUUCUCUCUAACCCUAUAAAUGAGAAGGGUGGUGGUGUUAGCAAUCCACAAAAGUAUGAAGAGGAAGACAAAGAUAUCACAAUGGUUGAAUCUCACUCACAACCUCACAUGGCUUCCCUCUCUCUCGACUACCUUUCUUCUCUCAAUCUCCUCUCCAUUGCUACAACACACACACCAAAACGGCUGGGAGACACACACACACACACACACAUAUAUAUAUAUAGGUUAGUUUAGGUCACCAAAUAUGGGCCAAGAGAUCUCUAAAUGGGCUGCCAUAUAACCUAAAUUAAUGGGCUAAUUUCCAACUCCAUAUUAAUCACUAAAUGGUCCAACAAACCAAAUAAUCAUCCAACCCAAACUCAAGCCAUCCAAAAGUGUAGUUCGUCUCUGAGCCGAGCCAAGUCCAUGGUACCGAUAAAUAAUCCGACAACUGUUUUAAAUCAUCGCCCGAAUUAUUGGAUAUCAAAAAAUCCAACACGAGAAAACCAAACAUAUUCAAAUAGAUUGUCACCUUGUUCGAGAGAACUACAAUCUGGAUUAGUUAAAAUCAUCCAUGUUACUUUACAAAAUCAGCUGGCAGAUAUCUUAACUAAACCUCUUGGUUCUACCUUGUAUCACAGAAAUAUUUCCAAGAUGGGCUUCCUAAUGAGGGGGAUACUAUGAUGCAGAUUCAGUUGCUUCCUUCUCAGCUUCCACAUCAGCUAAGUCAGUUGCUUGCAUACCAAUUGGAAGACAGUAGAGUCAAUUAUGCUGGCAUGGUAGUUACGAAGCUUUCAGUUAGAUAGCUGGAUAGAUUCCGUUAGGUAGUUAAUGCUAUUAUUAGGCUCAAUUAUAAUGAUGUAUUUUUCCCUUUAUCUACCUGACAAAUGUAUUUAUUUUCAAUUCAAGAUUAAAAGUUUAGAAUUCGAUUUCUCUCCCUGUUUCUUUUCUUUAAUAGAGUUUAAUUCAAG
Molecule: long non-coding RNA, 5386 nt
Filed under: Olea europaea subsp. europaea
Lineage: Eukaryota; Viridiplantae; Streptophyta; Magnoliopsida; Lamiales; Oleaceae
Source: RNAcentral